GCUGGGCAUGGUGGCCUACACCUGUAAUCCCAGCAGCUCAGGAGGCUGAGGCAAGAGGAUUGUGAGUUCAAAGCCAGCCUCAGCCACAGUGAGGCACUAUGCGACUCUGUGAGACCCUGUCUCUA
This 125-nucleotide small RNA is filed under the name Marmota monax (woodchuck). Lineage: Eukaryota; Metazoa; Chordata; Mammalia; Rodentia; Sciuridae. The record is from RNAcentral.